Long non-coding RNA from Labrus mixtus (cuckoo wrasse), 2269 nucleotides. RefSeq lists it as uncharacterized. The transcript is spliced from 2 exons. NCBI's taxonomy places the organism in Eukaryota, Metazoa, Chordata, Actinopteri, Labriformes, Labridae. The record is from RefSeq and is a predicted model, not a curated record.
CAUCACCUGUUUAACAAAAUAAGACUGAACUGUAGUUUUUGAAUCUCGCAGCUCGGCUCAUUCUGGUUAGCUUAGCCCUCGAUGCUUACACUGCUUAACAAAUAAUAAACGCAUCGGUUUGGGCCUCAGUAUAAGCUAGUAUUUGUUGAAUUGAAGAGUUUGUAUCAGCAUGAGAUUUUUUUUUUUUUUUUACCGAGACAUGGAUGAUGUAGUUGUAAUCUGUCCCGUAUCCAUUGCUCUGUUACUGUUGUCAAACACUCCGCGGCCAUACUUUUCGAACUUAAGCUGCCUUCAGGGACUGUCAUAAAAGUCAGGAUCUUCUUCUGUUUAACCAUUAUGUUAGCAGAUUGAACUGUAACUCGGUAUUUAUUUUGAAUGUUAAUUGUACAGCAUUGUCUCGUAAAAACACAAAAUAACGUCUCCAGAAUGAUACACGGUGUACGCAUUUACAGAAGAAAAAAAUAUUAGUGGCAUUAGAAACAAAAAAUAAUUUCCUUCCGUCAGUAGCAGCCUACACGUCUUUCCUUCAGGGUACAGUGACAGACUUUACGAGCAACAGUGAAUGCAUCUCUUUGUGGCAUGCGCACUGUCCAUAUCCGGACUUGUCACGUGUCCAAACAAACGCGCCUGUGUUUGUGCUUUAAGUUUGGUUUGGGGGUCUGUGUCAGGUAGUGCAGUGACUUCAGUAAACACUGGCCAAUCUUUAAGACACAUACGUCAGAUAUAUUAGUUCCCUUAGAGGCGUUUAGUGGGGAAAAAUAAAUUGUGUUGCCGUUAGCAACGGUUGCGUGGAGGUGUCACCAAGUGGUGUCCCUCGUACUCAGGAUCAAUGGCGUCCUGUGAGUGGAUGACGUCCUGUACAAACAUUAUUUUAUCUGCCACAGCACUUCACUCUUCUUACACACUCUUUAAGGAUCACAGGGCUCCAUCAGUAGGCCUCUUCCUUCUUGGACUCUCUGCAGCACUUUGCCUCUUGCAUCCCUCCAGCUCACACCUCACGUCUAUCCAGAGGGAAGCACAGUGGGCCAGUGAAGUUCUGGCUCCAGCUCUGGUUUCCUUUGACUUCCUGUGGCUCAGUGAAGAUCACAACACGGCACAUAUUCUCCUGUGUGGCUCCUGCAUUCUGCUGGGACUAUGUGACUGGCUGUCGGUCGAAGCUCUCACUUUGAUGACACGUUGCCUGGGCCUGUCCUCCCUGUCCUGCUGCCUGACUGUGUGUCUGUUUGCGGGUAAUGCUUUAGGAGCCCUGGGUGGUGUUGCCCUCAGCCUCCCAUUGCUGGUAGCUCCACCAGGUGCAGAAAACACUUUUUUGCCACUCAUUUAUCCAGGAGCCACCGAAGGACUCAUAAGGUGUAUUUUGAAAGGAUUCAUGUCUGUUGGUUGUUGGGCCUCCACAAACGCCCUUCACAUUUUUCUGUUGGAUGUUACUGAAAGAUAUACAACAGGCAUUCACUAACAUAAAGAUGUAUUGAGGUACUAAGUGGACCUAUGCAAAUCAUAAAGUGCCAACUUAAAAGCCUUUGCAAGGAGAUUUUUGGUAAAGAUUUGAGUGGGCUGAGUUAACUUUAUUGCCAUUACAACAAACUAAGUUAAGAGUUGACCUCCUCAUAAUUCAACUGACAGAAUAAGACUCAACACUACGAAAGAAAACCAUCUUAUACAAAACACUUAAGAAAUAUCAAACUUAUUGAAUCCAUUUGUAAAAGUGCAGCAUUUAGGUGCUGAUUAAUCCACAAAUCAAUUAACAGAAAAAAAGGCAAAACUUUGUAAUAGACUAACCAAGCAAUGUUUGUUUAAUUAUUAAGUGAUGAUCAUACAAAAACACAUCCAGACUUUUUACACUACAGGUGCCUGGUUCACAUGCACAAGCUCUUAAUAUUAUUAAUGUCAACAUGUUAGCACUUUAAUUUUCUUUUUGAUUAUUUACAAGAAUUUCAAGCAGGCUGCGCUCACUCUCAGGUCAUCGAUAUGCGCCACACAUCUCUGCUGACACUUUCAGUGUUGCAGAAUCUAAAAUCAUGCAGCCGCCUCCGACUCUCGCUCCUGUUUGCUUUGCAGACUCAGCAGUAUCACAGUUUAAAUAUCUGCAGUGGUCGACGCUGCCCUGCUCUUACCUCACCAUGCCCACACUUAUCGAUGCACUUUUUUUAAAACUACUUUUUUGGCUUUUAGCGUGUGUUGCAGUGACUGUUGAAGUCACUGCCACUUAAACAAGUUCUGUAUUAUUCUGUUUGUCCAAAGUGUUCAUUAUAAAAUACAUUAACAUUCA